AGGUGUCAAUAUGUUUUGUCUGAUGUGUACACCAUAUCCUCCGCGAAAUUGGUUAAUCUGGUAGGCAGAUCUCAAAAUAUGCAUCCCGAUCAAUGGUGAUACUAAUUUCAAGUUUGCAUGUGUCCAUGGAAGACAUGCUUCCUACCUUCGCUUAUGCCUCUAUAUAGCAAUGAUUUUGUUUUUUUGCAUCUCAAUUAUCUAUGCAUCUACUACCUAUCAUGUACGUUGUGGUAGAUCAAAUUAUUGCUUCUCAUAAGCCAUGCUUCCUACCUAUAUAUUUCGGAAAUGUUAACGCCCACACGUGUGGGCGUUCACCAUCCCGACCACACGCAAGCAUCUCCGUUGGCAGCUUUGUGCACGAAUCUUGGAACAAACCGGCCGGUUUUCUACGCCACGUAGGACGAGGCGCGUGUGCGGUGUGCGAGUCGGGUCGCCCGCACGUUGGUUGCCAUCCCGCGGUCAGCGGUUGCCACUCGGAGACGUGCGGUGGAACCACAAUGCGCCCGCACGCCACGCUCCGACCGCGGUUGACGUCAAACACGUCGCACACCGCAGUCCCCUCUCCCUCACGGUUCCAUUUACCCUGCCGCACGCAGUUACUGGCACAAGCCACUCGCAUUUCAAUCCACUGGAGGAGAAGGCGAGGGGAGAAGGCGACGGCGGAGGCGGAAGAAUCGACGGCGUUCGCGACCGUCGGUGGUGCUCGCCGGAACGGAGCGGCUGCGCCGGAGCGGCUGCGGCUUGAAGGUAAUGGUCGCUACAACUCUCGCAACCCCUUCCUGCAUUUUCCCCCCUUCCCUCCCUGCUUGAUUCCUCGAUCGAGUUCGUAGAUAUUCAGGCGAUUCUGCGAUGCGUCGGCGUUCCCGCCGGCGCCGAAGUCGUCUGCUAGCCGUUUUUGGUUGCACUGGGCAGUUUCGUCGCCGCCGCCGCGGCGGCAUCGUCGGUGUGGUUAUGCUUGUUCGGAGGCAGGCACUAGUCUUGCCUAUGGAUUGGGCAGGUGUCUCCCGGGUUGUUUGAUCCGCAUUGGUUGGAAUUUGUGUUUGCAGUCAGUUCGGGGGUGAACUUUGAGGGUGAAUUUGAGGUCGCGGUAGUUGCCAUUGAACCCUAGAUCUAGUUAGUUGGGUUUUGAAACUGUAGUAGGAGGCGAACUUGGUGGUUUGAUUAACUAUCAUGAUUGUGUGGCAACUAACUCCCUGAACAAAUGUGAUAGUUGCCACAAACGUGUUUUCCUUUGCGCGGCAACAAAUUACUGAAAUGACUAUGAUAGUUGCCACAUAUAAGCUUUCGCAUGGGGCAACUUUUUUUUAUUGAAUGACUGUGAUAGUUGCCAAACACACACUCUUCCAUGUGCAACUGAAUUUGCUGAAUUACUGUGACAGUAGCCACUAACAUGCUUUUUCAUUGUGGCAUCAAAUUUUUCUGAAUGAUUUGUGGUAGUUACCACUUUGUGAUAGUCGCCACAAUCUGUAGUCAAUGCAGUUUCAGCAGCCAACUGCACUGGACGGCAACUAAUGUGCACUUCAAGUGUGCCUGUUACCACUCGGAUUAGUAUAUUCAUGUGGCAAACAGAAUGUGACCAUACUGUCUGUUGCCAUUCUGCUGAUACGACAGUGUGGCAAAUUGGCUACAUAAUGUGGCAACCAAAUUUGCAUAUCAAUUCUGUCAGAUGUCAUACAUAUGUUAUUUUUCCUGCAUUCACUAGUUGACAUUUUCUGUAAGGUGGCAACUGCUUACCUCUUGCAUUCACAUUUCAUCCAUGACAAUUUGGUCCGUCUCUAUCUCAGCAGAAUGGCUCGUGGCGAUCAUCAAAAUGAUGAUGAUGAUUUCAUGGAUCCACCACAGCGUAAUCGGGCAGCUGGCCGGAUAAAAGAGGGUGAUGAGGUAAAUGUUCACACAUCCCCCCCUCAAUCCUGCUUUAUGUUACUGGUUGACACCUCGAGCUUGCAGUCGUCUGACACGGACUAAAAUUUCAUGACAUUGGAAAACAUGGCAACAACUGACCACUUACUGUCUGUUUUUUGCAGAAGAAGAAACGUAUUCGCAACAGAGCCUUCCAAGAACGACUGGCUACAUUGACUGACAAAUUCACCGAUGAUCAGAAGGGGGCUGCUGCUGAGAUGGGUAUGCAGUCUAUGAUGGCUGUCCGGUGCACGAACCUUGUCAACACUGUAUGCGACUGGCUUGCUGAGAUAUACGAGCCUGCCUCCAGGUAGUUCGUGAUUCCGGGAUGUGGAAGACUCCCAUUGAAUGAGGAUUCUGUGUUCUGCACUCUGGGCGUGCCUCGUGGACAUAUCAAAGUCCCGUACGAGGUCAACAAUGAGAUCGAGCAAGAACUGUUCCCCCGUUUGUUUCCUGGGUCGAAAUCCAUGUCGAACACGUCUGCAGUGGCAGAUUCGCUGCAGGCCAUGACGAUGCAUGGAGAUGUUUUCAAGAUGAAGCUACUCAUGUACCUCAUCUCAGCUGUUUUUGCGCCGACCACCUCCCUUCGCCCAAGCAACAAAUGCUUCCCCAUCCUGGUGAAUGAUCCAUCUUUACUUCUUUAUUUUCCUUCAAUCUUUCGGCUCCGAUGUCAUGUGUAAAGUUAGUGACUGCCAGUGUUUUCGAUGUUUUUUUCCAUUCUUAGAUUUCUGAUGCGGCAACCUUUUUGCCCUGAAAUUUUGUGUGGUGCAGACGGAUCUGAAAAAUGUGAAGAACAGAAUUGGUGCAAGUUUAUUGCCGACUUCCUCCACGAUGCAUUCGCAAGCAAGAUGUACCAAAAGGGUUGUCGACUGCAUUUAAUGGUAUUUUUUUACCAGUUCUUUCUGUGAACACUGUCUUAUAACACACUUUUAUUCAUGCAUGUCAACCUGAUCAUAACAAGAUGGCAACUGCCAUAAUGACAACAUGGCAACUGUUACAAUGACAAUAUGGCGACUGCCAUCAUAUUAGUAUGGCAACUGUUACCAGACUAUGAUGGCAACUGCCAUCUUAGCAAUAUGACAAUUGCCAUCACACCAUGAUGGCAACUAGCACAUACAGAAGGCAACUUCUUUUUUAUUCCAUUUUUUCCAUGCACAUCAGCUUGAUUAUCGGGGGAACAUACAUUAUCUUGUUUUUUUAACUACACAGUACACAUGACGGCAACUGAUAUUUCUUUCUUUGUAAAAUUGUCUUAAAUCAGCUCAUGUAUGUCGACUAUCUUGAUCUGUCCACUGUGGAUUUCACUAGGGUAGGAGGCCCGCCGCCUACGCACAAGUUUGCUAUUUCUGCAUGGACUAUCAACACUGUCAAGGUUGUGCUUGCCGCAGACAGGGCAACUGAUACCAAAUAUGAAAAAUUGCGGUUAGUUUUGGUUUCUCUCUCCACAUGGCAUGCUUACAAAUUUGACAUGAGGGAACCGUCCGUGGUUCAUAAGGGAUGACCACCUUUUGUGAUCCAUGGCUGUAUGCGUAUUGUAUCCAUGUUUCACCCCACAAGGGAACUCGUUUCAUUCGUGUUGAAACUUACCUUCUAUCUCUUACAUCCUUGCUAUUUUUUUUGUUUUUUCUAGCUGAUGGCCAAGCAUGCUAUAGACUACAGCGUGUUUGGGGGGCUCAAAACUUUGAAAAAUGGAUGGACGUGCACUCAGCUCCGUCUUGCCCUACUGAGGUAAUCAAAAUAUGUACAUCUAUGUUUUGCCGUGGAUUAUUUGUUGAUGUUGCGCAAGUGACUGCAAUAUGGGUGGUUGUUGAUGUUUCUUGUUUCAUGCACAGGAGAGGGCACCUGUUGAGCAUCUAAUUGGGCAGUUUGCAUCCGGAAUGACCGGCUUGCUCGGGAAGUUGGUUGAGGGGUGGACGUCUCUCAGUGGCUCUGACAGUGAUGCGGUUGCAAGGCAGUUCACUUCAUUUGUCCCAGAACGUACACAUCGGCCAACCGGUUGCCGUGGCCGGUAUGACUAUAACAGUUCCCAAGAGCCCGGUGACACACAAGAUGAUCUAGAUGGAGACGCUGGCCUCAGCAAGGAUGACGACGAUGACAUGGAGAACGUGCAACAUGACACCGAUGAUGAUGAGCAUGCUGAAGUUUGCGCAGGUGGUAACAAGGACAAGGAUGCAACAGAUGUCCCCCCCCCCCACCGGAGAAAGUCAAAGAACAUACAGCUGCGAGAGGCGAGGGGGUGUUGCCAUCAAGGAGGGGGAGGUCUCCAGGAGAUGUUGGGCAGGGUUCUCGUGGCAAGAGGUCUAGGACCGAUCCCGUAGCUGCCAGGAGGAGGUUCGACUUUAAAUAUAUUUUUUGCUGUGUCUAUUUUCUUGGAACAGUCUCAUCCAUUUCUUGCACUUGUUUUUUGUCAAGCGCGGUAAUGAGUUUGUUGUCUGACAGUUGCCACCUUUUUUUUACCUCCAACUCAUACGUGCAGCGAGCCGACCGCUGGUGGACGAGCAGUUACGAAGAAACAGGCGCCAACGCCAAACCGUGUUUCUGCUCGCUUGAACAAAGGUGCCCCCAUUGGUGACACCCCUUCCACCAGGUCUUCUCCUCGUACGACGAUGACCAACACCAGGGAUCCUAUCGUGUUGCCAGACCUAAGGAAGCCAGUCAAGAAAUAGGUUUCUCCAUGUGCUUUCAUUGACAUAGCGUUAUAUUUUCUUGAUUUUCCAAUGCAUCCGUUUAGCUUGUCACAUGGUCUUCUGUCAUCGUCCCCCACGCGGCAACUGCUGUUUUUUCCAAAUGAUUUCUUCCUUCAUUUUUAAAGUGUAUGGCAACUCAUAUUGGUUUUUACAUGGCAACUGGCAUCUAAGCCAAAUGGCAACUCUUACUGUACCUAAUGGCAACUGCCAUUUGUUUCCCGUUGGCUUGUGAGCUCAUCCCACACCCAGGUUUGAAAUUGCAUUCAUGGCAGAUCAGACAUUCUUAUCAUUCUUCAAGUUGCCUAACAUCGCAACUGCUGCUGGAUGGCAACUGCUAAUUAUGACACAUGGCCACUCACGUCCCCCUUACAUGGCAACUACCAGCUUUUCCACUUGUUUAUCAUUUUUUAAAGAUUUCUACCAUGCCAAACAUAUUUUUGUUCAUUUUUCAAUAUCUUUUUCAUGUGCUUUUUUUUGCAGGGUGAAGAAGACCACUAUGCGCGGGGCCAAGCAUAUCAGUAAGGACCCGCUCGAACGCCUACAUUCAAAGUUGUCAACAGGGGGCAACUCAGAUGUACAUGAGGCACCAGGCGACAAUACUGCUGCUGCACCAUUGAUCGCUCCCACCAACUCUGAUGCAAGUGGCCGACCAUCUCCGCCGGCUGCAGAUGUGCAGGCUAGAACAACAGGCAAACGUACAUCAGGGAGUGACGAGUCGGUAUCUGCCAGGACAGCUGAAAUAUUGCCAACUCUAUUGGCAAUGAAGGAUGCUGCUGUGAGCCAUGCCACCCCAUCAGCAAGUGUUGAAGUGGAUGCUCCCGAGACGAACCUAAGCAAGGAAUAUUCCCGCUCAUCUGACACUGAUUCCAAGCGCGUGCGUGGUCGCACUCCUGUGUCCACGACAGAAGCGGCUGAGGCGGCAGUUCACAAGGAUAUGACAUCUACAGGUGAGAGUCCUGGCACAACAGCUCCAGCUCCUGUCGGUGCAGAUACUGCUAAGGCGACUGUUUCGCGUGCUAGUCUUCCACCUAGGCGUCGUAGCCCCCGCAAGCAACCAACAGACAUAACUAAUGCAUCGGCUGUAGCUAGGAGCAGGAGAGACGAGCCUGGUUAUGUUCCUGCGUCCACACUGUUCCCGUCACCUGCCAAAAGCAAUGUGAUGGAGAAACCGGAAGACCGGAGCACAACUGAUGCAGGUGUCAAGCCGGGCACGAGUGACGCAGGUGAACUCCCGGAGCAGACUGCGCCUUUACCCGCAUUGGAAAUCCCCAUCAUAAAUCUGCGCACUUCCAGGCUCCCACUCAAUGUCGGUCUCCCCUACAGCCCAAACAAGAAGAUUGUCAAGAAAGUUGUGGUUGAUACCGCUGACAAGACGCCCCGCCCUGCAAAUAAGCCCGAUCAUUCUGUAGCGGCCGAUUCAGAUAUGUUUGUCGAUCUUUCACCCUUGGAUUCUGCCCCGCAAAUUGUUCGUGGUCCGGCCAGUAGUAAUGAGAGGCACCCAAUGGCCUUUACCCCACCGAGCUUCAACCUUGGCAUCGGUCAAGAUCAACCGGUGGUGCAAGAUCCUAUGCCAGUUGCCUUUGCUUUCCCAGGAGGCAUGCCUGCAAUGAUGGCGCAGCCAAUGAUCGAGGGCAGGAAGGCUGUCAAGUUCACAGAGCCGAUUGUGAAAGGUACACUUGUCAUGUUCUUAUGAUUUUCUUGCAUACAUCUUUGUAGUUUGACUUUUGUUCCAAUCAUAUUUUUUGGGGGGGAGGGGGUUCUCACUUGUGAUGGCAACUGACAUGUGAUGACAUGGCAACUGGAUUUGAUGCACCAUGUCACAUACAUUUCCUUUGCUGUCGUGCUGCAUUUAACAUUUGGGCAACCACGUGGCAACUGAAGUUGCUUCAACAUGGCAACUGUAGUUGCUGUCACAUGGCAACUACAGUGCAUUACAGAUGGCAACUGGAUUUGCCACACCAUGCCAACUGCAUUUUUUGUUUUCAUGCUGCAUUUUUUCAUACGGCAAUCACAUGGCAAGUGCAGCUGACACAACAUGGCAACUAUAGUUACUGUGAUAUGGCAACUAUAAUCCAACUAGAUGGUAAUUACAGUGCAACUACAUGGCAACUGUAGUUGCUAUGACAUGGCCACUGUAGUUGGACCAUGCAUGGCAACUGCCCCACUUUUUCUGCCCACAAUCUCACAUCAUGCACCCUACCUCCUCACAAUCCAUCUGUUUUUGAUUUUCUAGGUAUCCUAACACACUUUUUAAUUUUUUUAUCAUUGCAGCCACCCCUGAGGAGAUUUCACCGUCACUUGACGAAGCUUACCGCAUGAUCGAGGAGGCAGCAUUGCAUAGGAGGUCCUCACGAGGGCAAGGGCAAUCAAGUUCCAACGUGCCUGCAGAUAUGGUAUCUGAGGAUACCAUUAGGAGUGCCACUCCUGGUUCUGUGAGGCAGCAGAGGGUAGUUCACCCACCUCCCGCGGAAGACUACGAGCCCGAAUUCAAGGUCACUAAGGAACAGACCCAGCUGUACGAUAUCGUCAAGCGGUUUGGAAAUGCGAGGGCUAGCAGCAAGCACAUGAAGGAGGUGAAAGCGUAAAUGACCACACCCCAUAAUCUCUCAUUUUUGCUUUGCUCCUUUUUUACGAUUCACCUUCUUCGUACUUCCUAUACACGAUCCGCUUACGUUUUAGUUCUUUCAUAUAUUUUUUACUUAGCAGGCAUGAUCCUUCCAUGUUAUAUCGUUUUCAUACAGCUCAUGUUUGGACAGAACCAAAGUCAUUCAAUGCGGAGCGACGUACGUCGACCUGGGUGAUCUUGCUGAGUCCGUGAGGCCAAACGGUAAAAUAUCGACGAAUGUAGUUGCAUGCGGAUCGACUACAUCAGAAAUCAUAUGGAUGUGUGUGCCGACAAGAUAAUCAUGCAUUAUAUUGUGACCUGCAAAAUAUGGGAUGGUGACUUCCACCACAAAAUCCUGAGGAAGAAUUUUGCUCAACACGGUGAUUUCAAGCUCACACUGAAGAAAUAUGUGAGUACUCCUCCCCUUUCUGCACUGUUUUGUCAUAUGGUGUGGGUUUUUUUCCAUCAUCUGCACUUGAGUUUAUGUGGCAGAUGUUUUCAUGUGGCAAUAGUUGCCGUGCACACUGUCAUCUUGAUUUUUGCAUCCCGUGCAAACUAUGUGGCAACUUGAUAGUAAAAUACACGGCUCAUUUUGUUCAUACAUGGGCGGCAACUUUCUGUCAACUACCCCCACCCAUAACCAAAACAUUCUACGUGAUUCUAAAUUUUUUGUCCCUCUGCUUCUCAUUUCUUCACUUUUAAAUGCAGGUCAUGUUCCCCAUGUUCCAGGAGCUUGCACCACAUGACCAGCAAGACAAGUGUGGUCACCACUAUGUCAUCUGUCUUGACCUGAAGAACCAACGUUUUGAGGUGCUUGAUUCAAUCCGUUCGGAAGCUGAUACAGAUCUUACUACGCAUGCCGAAUUCUUCAUCAACAACCUCAAAGAGACAUGGAACCGUCACUACGAACAUUCAAAAGUCCAGAUCAGGCAUUUCCCGACUGAGUAUGUGGCGACUGCGAAGCAAGGGAACACGUAAUUUCUUAACCCCCUCCUUCAUGUGCCAUUUACAUCAAUCCAACCCCUCUUUUGUUGCCACAUCUGAAUUGAAGUCUAUCAUUUGCUACGUCUGCCCUUUUUGUGUGUUCACCUGACUCUUUUUCUCGUGCAGGACGGACUGUGGCUUUCACGCGCUGGAAUACUUUGCCAAGUGGGAAGGCAGAAUUGUCCCCGCUAUCACAGCUACAACGUUCGUUGAGCUCCGGAAAAUCCACACAUGGAACUGGUUGACGAAUGAAGAUUUCAACAAGCGGUCCGGAGCACGCGAGUUUGUGGAGGAAGCUGUCAAGAAAGUCAUCAAGAGGUACAAGUGAUCACGCGGCGAUACACACCGGAUGCACACCUUACAUUCUGUUGCCGAGGAAUGUAAGGUACUAUCUCUUUUGUUCUCGUCAAAAACUAUGUUCGUGUGUUAUGUUAUGACUGCAACCCCGCGUAGGCUACUAUGUAGUGGUGGUGUGUGAGCGACAUUUGAAUAGUUUCUGUAAUAUAUGUGUGGAUGUGAACCUACUUAGGCGUGACAGCAGAUAUGUUUUUUAUGUUUAUCAUUAUUACUAUGGUUUCGUCGUUUGCAUCACCCGUUUGCUGUUUCGAAUGCGUCACGGUGUUUUAAAACAUGGCAAAUGUAGUUCAUCAGACAUGGUUAGCGAACGUCAUUGUCGUUGUUCAUUUGGACGUCUUGCUUCUUCUAUUUCAUCACUAACUUCACCGGCUAGCAUGGUAGGUUUGAUCAUGUAGCCACAACCUUUGCUGCGGUUUAUGCAUGUUACGCCUUUUCCAACUUGUUUCUUAUACAUUGCACACAAUACACUAUGUGUCUCUAAACCGCGUCGUAUUGUCAUGGAAAUAUAUGCCAUGCAGAGUCAUUACAAGUACCAUGGCAUAUUUUCAGUACAGCUAACAUGGCAGACACAGUACAAACAACAUUGCAGAUCCAGCAUAAUUAACACGGCAGAUAUAGUACAACUAACAUGGCAGAUCCAGUACAACUGAAGUGGAAGAUGCAGUACAACUAGCAUGGUAUAUUUGGUACAAAAUAGCAUGGCAUAUUUAGUACAAAAUAGCAUGGCAUAUUUAGUAUAAAAUAGCAUGGCAGACUAACUACACAUAACAUGGCAGAUUAACUACACAUAACAUGGCAGAUUAACUACACAUAACAUGGCAACUGCAUUUAUCCACUCAAUGAAUUUUCCUUCCACUUCCGAUGCCCCUCAAGAGUCAUUCUCGCAAUCUUAAAAAAAAUCUCAUCAUCUAGGGUACAAAAGAAAAUGUCCACAAGGACCAUGUCACGUCGCCCCAAUUUUUGCUCAUGGAUUGCCCGCCCCUUUCUUCGUUUUCUUGUGUUUUGAUUGAAUCUCCAAUCUCGACUUGUACCUUGUCUCUCUUGGACGACCCUUUGUGAUCGAACAGGGUGGGUUCCUGACCUGGGUCUGUGUGCUUGCUGUUUCAGAUCCUAUCUCCGAGUUUUCAGAUGAUGGCCCCGUGGACGAAGGCACACUUGAUGUGCGGGGGAACCGGUGUAAGGCUUCCUCAGCUUUCCUCUUCUUAAUCUCAUCAAGCUCUCUUUUCAGUGUCUUCCUGUGUUUUUCCGCGACUCUCGCUGUCUCAUCACUCUUGCACGCUUGAUCAAUUAGCUCAGCAUAGUUCUUUGUCAGCACAACGUGCCUCACGUCUUCCAUGGUUGACUCAGGUCUCUCGUCAUGUACAGCCAGAACUGCGUGUGUUGUCUGUGGCGCCAACGCAUCGUCAGCGUCCCAAGUCUAUCGCCGCCUUAUGAAAUGGCGGGGCAUCCGUAUCACAGCGUUCAUGUCCAUUACUUUUAGUAUGUGACAGCACACAAUGUCGUCCCGUUCGAACUUGCAGCAUUGACAGUAGUACUCGCCUUCGCCUAUCGAGGCUUUGACGAAGUAGUUUCUUCAUUUGUCCGGGUCUUCAGGUUCUGAAUCUGACAUGCCCAAAAUAGAACACACCUUGAACGUAUGUUCGUCCACCUGGAAAGCCGUGAACAUGCUGGCACGCUUUAUUUCUUCCUGGAAUCUGCAAGUUUUGUGUGUUUUCUGUUAAACUAUCGCGCUUUUUUCUUGUACCACCUUAUAUUAUCAUGUAAGUAGAAAUACAUUUUUGAUUGAACAUGGCAAACAUAGUUCAUUCAACAUGGCAAAUAUAGUACGUUGAACAUGGCAAAUGCAGUACACUAGACAUGGCAAAUGCAGUACACUAGACAUGUCAAAUGCAGCACACUAGACAUGGCAAUUGCAGCACACUAGACAUGGCAAUUGCAGCACACUAGACAUGGCAAUUGCAGCACAUUUUCAACUGGCCAACAUCAUUUCCCACACCAACAUUCCCCAACGAAAGCACAUUGCAUAAAACAUGGCAACUGCCCUUUUAGUUAAACAUGGCAUCUAUAAUUGGCUAAACAUGGCAAUUGCAUUUCAACAAACAUGGCAGAUUCACUUUAUUAAACAUGCAACUGCAUUUCAGCAUAUGUGCCGCCAACAUAACAUUUUUCCAGUUGACAUUGGCACUUGCAUGCCAACAUGCCCCAAUGGAAGCACAGUGCAUUAAACAUGGCAACUGCACUUCAUUCAACAAGGAAAUUGCACCCGCGUAAGCAUGGCAAAACAGAAUUUUCAUUGAACAUGGCAACUGCAGCUGAGUAAGCAUGGCAAAACAAUAUUUCAUUAAACAUGGCAACUGCAUAUCAUGGCAACUGCAUUGCACUCUAUAAGGCACCUGCUGCCUAUGUGCUUUUUUCUGCAAAUAAGACUGUAACGCAACUGACUUACUUGUUAAAGAUCUUGUUCGUGUAUAUCUUGCUCAUUUGCCUCUCCAUCGGUAAAUACAUUAGCAAUUUUGGCUGCUUUAGUGUUAUGGUCGCUUCUUGCUGUAGCUCAGAUCCCAGAAUUUUUUGUUGCAAAGUUGUGUACUGCUUGGCAAAUUGUAGCAAUGAGUUGCCAGGGCUGAUGUACCGCUUCAAAACAGCAUUGAACCCCUCGCUGCGCUGCGUAGUCUGCAGAAAUGGGAAGAAGCACUGCAUGAAGUAGGCCGGCACCCAGUACAUUCGCUUCUCCCACAGGUUAGCAAGUGUCUCGUUGUCUUGGACUUGAUGUGUUUCAAUCAUGGCCAUCCAGCUCCUUUCAAACUCCUCCACUGUCAAGCUGUGGUCCACGCACAACUCGAAUGCCUUGUGCAGCUCUGGACGGUCAGCAAAGAACGAUCCUAGCGUCUCCUCAGCCUUCUUUAUAAUGUGCCACCUGCAGUGCCUGUGCACUGCAAACGGAAAGACCUCCUCUAUGCCUGCACGCAUGCUGAAAUCUUGGUAUGUUAUUAUGUUCAUCGGAGCAAGUCCAUCCAUGCACUCCAAGAAGGUCUUGAACAGCCAAACGUACCCAUCCGUGUCUUCGUUCCGGACGAGCCCGCAGCCGAACUGCAACGACUGAUUAUGGUUAUUUAUUCCUAUGAACGGAGCGCAUGGCAUCUUGUACAUAUUGGUGAGGUAUGUCGCGUCGAAUGAAAUGCAAUCUCGGAAAUGCUUGUAGGCUCUCCUUGCAGCACCAUCCACCCAAUACAUGUUUCUGACACGGUCCUCAUCGCCCAACCUUAUCCUGUAGAAGAAAUCUGGAUCUUCCUUCGCUUUCUCAUCGAAGUAGGCAAUUGUGGCCUCUAUGUCUGCCAACUUGCUCUCUCUACGGUACUUGGCCUGUAGGUUUGUGACGUCAGCUGGUAUGUACGGCAUGCUACUCAGUUUCCCCUUUUUGCUGUGGAUGAGAGAUAGUAUCUGUACCAUUCUGGAUGGACCGACGUUACAAUCAUGUAGCAGCUUUACGAAUUGCCUUUCGACGGGGGUGAACCCUCUGUGGGCGGUCAGAAAUUUUACCAGGUCGAACUUCUUUAUGAGUUGGUGGUUGUGCUCGUCAAAAUACUCAUUGACCACCCACUGUCCUCCAUCUACGUUUAGCUUACACCGGACGGGACACUCUGUCUUGAGAAUGAUACCUCUCUUUCGUUACGGAAUGACAGGCGCAACACCUUUCCCCUUCUUGUUCCUCCGUGCCUUGUGGCACCUCAUCUCACCUCUGUUGUACUCGUUAGUUUUCUUAAAUUUUCUAUGGUACUCGGUGUUGACCGCAAAUCCAUGAAACUUUGCAUAUGUUUGGUAGUAUUCCUUUGCUUCUUCGAACGAUUCAAAUCUCUGCCCAAUGUACGGUGGCUUAGGUACCAUCUGAUUGCCCACCAUCUUCAUCCCCUUGUGCAUUGUCGUCAGUUUCAUCAUUCACUUCAGUAUCGGCGGCAGUUCCAUCUUCUUGAGUGUUGGCAGUGUUUGUGUUCAAAGGGGUGCUUGUCGGCAUUGCUGGAAUGAUUGCCAUUCCCGACUCUGGCUCGAAAUUGUUUGCGGCAUGAUUGUCUGCUGGCUGGUGGAACGCGUCUUCCGUGCGCUCAGAGCUCCCCACAGUAGAUGUUCCCGCGCCACUGUUCACUGUAGUUGUAGGCCCUGUAAUAGAAAAAACAGGUAUGAGAUUAAGAUUUUUGUUUGAAUAACAUGUGUAUCGCGAUGGAUCACAUCAUCUUCGAGUGAUUUGGCAUGACAUCAUUUCAAACAGCAAGCCAUGAGGCUGCGCUUGGACAUGUAUGGCAGCUGUAUCUGUCCAGUCAUGGCAGCUACUGUUCAACAAACAUGGCAACUACUGUUUUGCCUACCAAUAACUACAAAUAACAAAUGUAGUGUUAUUUCUGUGGGUCGGUUUUUCUCCUUACCUUGUUGUGCUGCAUUUGACCAUCUUGUGUGGUCUGUGACACCAAAAUGACGUGCUCCACCUGCAGUUUGUGAAGCUUGCCACGAGACGUUUGCCGGGUUACCACCAGCGUAAUAACCUGUAAGCAUAGUAUUGGUUGGUCAAUUCAUGGCAAAUGUAGUUUGUGCUAGCACGACAUCUACAGUUGCCCCUGAUGUGGCAACUGCAGUUUUAAUGGCAUGGCAAAUGUAGUUGCAUCUGUAUGGCAACUGCAGUUAUUCCUUCAUGGCAGCUGCAGUUGCCAUGGCAUGGCAAAUGUAAUUUUUCCUCCAUGGCAACUGCAGGUGUCUACGGAUGGCAUCUGCAGUUGUCCAUGGAUGGCAACUGCAGGUGUCUAUGAAUGGCAAUUGCAGGUGUCUAUGGAUGGCAACAACAGUUGUCCAGGGAUGACAAGUGUAGUUUUUAAAUCAUGGCAAUUGUAGAUGUCCAGUCAUGGCAAUUGUAGAUGUCAACUAUGCUCCUUCUGCUAAUUGAGCAUCCGCAACUUCACUUUUUUUGUGGACUCACCUGUGUAUGAUGUCGAUGGCAGGUACAUGGGUGUUGCCUGAUGCCACGUGCUGCAUGAACGCUCUGCAUUUUCACCCGUGAUAACUCGUGAGUCCUUUUGCCAGUUUUUUUGCAUGUUUGUUUUUCACGUCCACAGCAACAUGUGCUCUUUUUUCGUUUUGCAUUACCUUGAUAAGCCGUACUAGCUAGUUGAAGUCGGCUGCCCGCACAUUUGUCAGUGUUAGCGCCUUGUGACUGAACUUGCCACGGGGGCCCCCUAAGAGUGUUUUGGUCAUAAGAACCUGCAAAAAAAUGAGAAUAUACGACAUAAGUAGAAUGUCAUCUUCAUCGUUGCGAAGAUGGCAACUGUUCUCUUCUUUUGUUAUCACGCAUCAUACCUACGCCUGCAUACUGUUCUAGUAGUGGCAGCAAUGGCCCUGCAGAGAUGAGUUGACUGUACUCUGAUGCAUCCCAAGGGGGCGUUUCUGGCCUUUGAGAACCCCAAGCAUCAGCGCCAUCUUCGUGAUUCAUUCUUUUCGUGUCUCGCUUCUUUCCGAUGUGCUCUGAAUCACUGCAUGAACAAGAAGGCAUCAAUAAUCCACAAGAAUUGUAUUCUUCUGCUGCUUGCCCAUAGAAGAUGGGGAUGGCAAGCAACAGGUCAAAAUAGGUGGCAGCUACUGACAAAGAAAGGUGGCAACUAUCGUUACACACAAGUGGCAAUUAAUUUUUCCCCACCCCUUCAUUCCAAAAAUUGUCCUUCCUGUCCUUUUUUAGGGAUUCCUACUCAUCCAUUUCAUACACAACUACCUGCGUCAAUUAUACUAGAAACUUAAGUUAAGCUCAACAUGUAGAUAACAAAAACUACUGGAUCUCAGAACUACUGGUGUUGCCACCCCCCUAUAGCAUGGAUCCAGUACAAGAUUGGGGAGAUUUUUCAGCCUGAAGGAUGAGAAGGAUGACAUAGGGAGAUUUUCACCUGAUUUUAGUUGAUCGUCUCUGAAGGGCUGGUUGGAGUGGGGGGCUAGGGGUGGGGAGGGUUGGGGUGUGGUUUGCGGUGGGUUUGCCCUACGGAUCUGCUCUGGUUGCCAUGGCAACCAGAGAAGGCCGGCGACGGAGGUAGGGGUCGAGAGGUGGAGGACGAUGGCGGCAGUCGAGAGAGGCGAUCGAGCGGAGGACGGGAACGGCUGGGUUGUGCGGGCAGCGGGUCGUGUGGCCCGGACGGGGCAGUGCGGGCGGGGUUGCCACGCACCGGACGUGCGGGCCGUGGUUUUGUGCGCGCGGACGUGGUCGUGCGGGCCGGUUCCCGUCCAUGCCACAUGAGGCAUGCGGGCGGGUUCCCGUCCAUGCCACACGUGUGGCAGUUAUUCGGACCCAUAUAUUUUUAUAGUAGUAUUUUUUUUCUUCAUCUCACUUUUCUAUGGCUGCAUUGCAUAUCAUGUAGUAUGUUGUGACAGAUAAUUUCCUUCUUAUUUCUCAUAUGUGUUUCUGUUGUACAAAUGUUUUGUGCCAGACUAUGCCAGGUAUGCAUUUGUGUAUAUGCUGGAUCUUAAAAGAUAUUCUAAACACAAAUUAUGCUUGUAUAUUUUUAGUUUACAGAUGGCUGGAUCUGCUCCUUGGUCUAGCAGGAUGGACGUAGCUACCUACUUGAUUCAAAUCAUUGCUUUGUGGGGCUGGUUCGACGUCGACAAAGCAGGCAUGAAGAAUGCAUGCUUUCUUACGUGGGAUUGUUUGCUUCCUCAUGCCUGACAAUUGCUUCCUACCUCAUCUACGCCCGUGCACGAGGAUAUUAGGCAUGCCAAGUCUUCCUGUGGCCCAGACUAGCCACUACACUAGCUACGUCGGCCCGAUCUCGUCAUUGUCGAUCCGAUCUCAUCGAUGCUACUCCUUGAAGACAUCCGGCGCUCAUGUUAGGGGCUUCACACCGUUGUGCUUCGAUGUUUAUGUCUUGUUGUAUGGAAGCAAAGUCCAAUAUAUAUUCAAAGAAAUUUUUGUUUUCUUUGGAAGCAAAUUAUGAUCUCAUUUAUAAGCAAUGUUCAUGAAAGUAUACAUCAAUCAGAAAGUUGGCCGUUGAAAAUAUGUAUGUGCAAUGGUGGAUAUAAAUUUCAACUUCAUUGGAAGCACAUGCUCAUUUUGUUUGAAGCAGAUGUAAUUGUUCGUCGCACAUGCACGCUGUACCAACUUAAUAAUUUUGUAU
RNAcentral lists this long non-coding RNA (15665 nucleotides) under Triticum aestivum (bread wheat). Its description in RNAcentral is "long non-coding RNA (TAES_LNC012463)". The record is from RNAcentral. Lineage: Eukaryota; Viridiplantae; Streptophyta; Magnoliopsida; Poales; Poaceae.